RNAcentral lists this ribosomal RNA (63 nucleotides) under uncultured bacterium. RNAcentral's name for it is "partial 16S ribosomal RNA". The record is from RNAcentral.
UGGUCUUGACAUCCCGAGGAUUUUUUAGAAAUAUUAAAGUGCCUCUUAGAGGAAUUCGGUGAC